Long non-coding RNA from Phyllostomus hastatus (greater spear-nosed bat), 955 nucleotides. RefSeq lists it as uncharacterized. NCBI's taxonomy places the organism in Eukaryota, Metazoa, Chordata, Mammalia, Chiroptera, Phyllostomidae. The record is from RefSeq and is a predicted model, not a curated record. The transcript has 3 exons.
CAAGGCCGGCGGCUGGAAGUCACCAUAGAGCGGGAACGCGUCGUCCUUGGGCUCGGUGUCGGACGGACAAUGAGAAACCAAUGAAAAACCAAUGAAGGAUGCUGAGCAUGAGUGUGCAGGACAUUGUUUUGGAAGAUACAUGUGCAAGAUAAAUUGAAGAAGAGAAGUGCCAACAGAACAAUUUGAGAACAAGCUUCAAACAUGCUGUGCCAUUACCCACAAAUUCUCCCAAGAACAAGGACUCUUGUAUAUUUCCCAAGAAUGAGGACUCUCUCCAAUGUUACCAUCAUACAAUUAUUCAAAAAAGGAAACAACUAUCAAUGCAACAGUACUAUCUAAUCCACAGACCCCACUGUAAUUUUGCUCCCUGUAUCAACAGUCUUUUUUCUUUCUGGUCCAGGAUCUAUUCCAGGAUAAAACUUUGCAUUUCCUUUAUUUUGUUUCAAUCUGAAACAAUUCUUUAGCCUUUCCAUAAUAUGAGUUUGAUAGGUUAUUUUCUAAUUCAACCUAUUGUUUAUAUUUCUGCCUAUUCUUUCACAUAGAAUAAUUAGUUUUCAUUUACUGAUAGAAUAACCUUUCACCUUCUUAACUCUCUUCUCCAGGCUAAAUAUUAUUAAUUAUUUUAAUUGUAUCAAAUAUAUUAUAGUUUCUAGUUUGGUUCUCUAUCUUUCAAAAUAUAAUACCGGUUCAAAAAUACUCUGGACUAGGCUUCUAAUUGUAAUAAGCAAAGCCGAUUUUGUACAUCAGACACAGAUUCGCAACUGAAACUUUGGAAACUGUUUGGCAUAAGAGACUAAACACGAUUAUAGGAGGAUUGCUGGCACAGAAUGUUGCCUGUUUUUGAAAAGUAGUUGGUUUUGUCAUUUUUAGUUCUGUCUUAGACACAUCAAGAAAAAGUAUUCAAAAUAGUUGCAUUAGGGUGAUGGGAUAUCAAGGACUCCUUUCAAUGUUCAUU